UUUUUCCUUUGCAAAUUUUGGACUUCAUCGGAGCUAGCCGGAGAAGACGGUGGCGCUGGCCACCGUCUGGUCUCCAGAUCUAAUCGUGGCCAUCCAUUUCCGUUUCCAGAUUUAAUCCUGGUUGUCCAACGUUAUGACUUUUUUAAAAUGUUUAUGUGGUUGCAUUGACUGAAGUGUUUGGUAGGCGCGCAUGUGUGAUCCGUCUGAUCUGCCAGGUCAAUUAAUGAACUGGAUCCAACGCCUCUCCUUUUUUCUUAUUUUUAAUUCUGAUUUCGAUUUUUU
RNAcentral lists this long non-coding RNA (282 nucleotides) under Lathyrus oleraceus (garden pea). RNAcentral describes it as "Pisum sativum (pea) long non-coding RNA (PSAT_LNC001106)". Lineage: Eukaryota; Viridiplantae; Streptophyta; Magnoliopsida; Fabales; Fabaceae. The record is from RNAcentral.